UACGUAGGCACCAAGCGUUGUCCGGAUUUAUUGGGCGUAAAGAGCUCGUAGGCGGUUCGGUAAGUCGGGUGUGAAAAACUCUGGGCUCAACCCAGAGCCGCCACCCGAUACUGCUGUGACUCGAGUGCGGUAGGGGAGCGGGGAAUUCCUGGUGUAGCGGUGAAAUGCGUAGAUAUCGAGAGGAACACCUGCGGCGAAGGCGGGUUGCUGGGCCGACACUGACGCUGAUGCGCGAAAGCCAGGGGAGCGAACGGG
Molecule: ribosomal RNA, 255 nt
Filed under: uncultured bacterium
Lineage: Bacteria
Description: partial 16S ribosomal RNA
Rfam family: Bacterial small subunit ribosomal RNA
Source: RNAcentral